Heterocephalus glaber (naked mole-rat) is the source of this 1995-nucleotide non-coding RNA. The record is from RefSeq and is a predicted model, not a curated record. NCBI's taxonomy places the organism in Eukaryota, Metazoa, Chordata, Mammalia, Rodentia, Bathyergidae.
ACGUAAAGGAAUUGGGCCGGGCGAUCCUGGAACCAAGCCGUCAAUCCUUGGAGAGCGGAACGGUUACUUCCGGGGUGGUAUAGCUAAGCUGUAAAGGAAGUGACGCGUCGCCCCUGGCGGUGUUAUGGAGCAGCAACAGCAGCAACUGAGAAACUUGCGAGACUUCCUGUUGGUCUACAAUCGGAUGACAGAACUCUGCUUCCAGCGCUGUGUGCCCAGCCUGCACCACCGAGCUCUGGACGCUGAGGAGGAGGCCUGCUUGCACAGUUGUGCUGGAAAGCUGAUCCAUUCCAACCACCGCCUCAUGGCCGCUUACGUGCAGCUCAUGCCUGCCCUGGUACAGCGCCGCAUCGCAGACUAUGAGGCCGCCUCAGCUGUGCCAGGUGUUACUGCAGAACAGCCCACAGUCUCGCCACCAGGCAGCUAGCCAGCCCCAACCCUAGCCCCAGGAGGGAAGGUACUGGAAGGACCCAAUGGACCUUGGGCUUGGUGAAGCCCAGAGAGAUUGAGGGAUUGCCAGAAAGCUGGGUACUCUUGCUCCUUUCCUGGAGACAAUAAACCCAGUUUUUGCCGUUUGGUUUAUAAUAUGAGUAGGGAACCUUUGUCCACUUUAUUAGCACCAUCCUUUGUUAUGUCACUUACUGCGUGUUUGCUGGCUUCACCCCUCGCAGCUGAGAAAUUGCCUUCUAUAUCUAGAAGGACAGCCUCAGUAUUCCCAGCAUCUGAUUAGAGCAAGGUCUGUGGGUACAGUUUACAGGAGGUGAGGCCAUCAUGUGAGAAUAAAGCAGAAGAAAAUGGAAGAUGAGCGAGUACAGAUGGUUUGAAAUAUUCUUUGGGCAGUAUCAAAGAAUGAACUGACAAAGGAAACAAUUAGAUUUUUAGCCAGUGUUGAAGGCUCAGUAGAGGUUAGUGAUCAGCAUUCUCUUCUGUCCUUGUCUGGAAAGCUUCCGAUGUUUUAAGGCUUAAACUCUAUGGCCUAAUGUGAUUUGAGGACUCUGCCUUGCCCUUCCCAGGAAGGACUGUCUAUGCCCUUACUCAUGCCUUUACCAAACUCUUGUUCAACAGUAUGUUAAGAUCAGUAGCCAAACAUAUCAAUUGUAUCAAAUAUCUAUUAUCUACCAGGCUAUAUUCUAAGUAUUUUAUAUACAUUAAUUCAUUUAAUCCUCAUAAUCAGUCACCCUAUAAGGGUUCAUUUUCAAAAGAUGAAGUCAGGAUGUCAGGCAGUCUAACCCCAAAGCCUGUCUCCUUACCCACUAAUGAAGAUUGUUACACAUUCAUAUAUUUUCUCUGUGAAUAUUUUCUGAUCCCCUAUUCAUGGUGCCUCACCUUAGGGACUGGGGAUAGAGUAGGGAAGAGAAUUGCUGCUGCUAUGGAGCUUACAUUUCAAGUCAGGACAAGACAGUAAACAAAUAAAUACCUGUUUAUAUGAGAUGGUAAUUGAUACUGUGGGAAAAAAUUAUUUAGGGCAAAGAGGGUAAAAAUGUUGAGAAGAGUAUUGCCAUUGUCUAUUGAGUGGCUAGGGAAGAACCCAAUAAUAAGGUGGUUUUUGAGCAAGGACUUCAAAUGAGGGAGUAACCCUUCGGGACAUGUGGAAGAAAGAGUGUACACUGCUUUGCUGUUCAACUAGUACUGUAAGCCGCUAGUUCGCCCCCAUUAUCCACUUCCCCCCUUUUUUUUACUAAUGGAACCCCUGAAAUUUCUCUGGGUGCAUAAUGACUAAAAGUAAAGAUUAGAUUUGCUAGCUUUAGUUACAAGUAGGUAUGGCCAUGUGCUUGAGUGAUGUGGGAAUUUAGCAAACUGCGCCAUUCACAAAAAGGGUAUGCCUUCUCUUUGCUCUUUUCUCCUAUCUCACUAGUUAGGAUGGACCCCAGAAGACAUGAUGGUGAGCCCUCUGGGACUUUGAAGACAAGGACUACUUCCUUGGAGAAGGCAUGUUAGCCCUGGAGUACUUAAAUAGUUACAUGAGAGAGAAAAAUAAACUUCUAUCAUGUUUAA